UGUAAGCGUAUACCAAAGUUGUUGCAGUUAAAAAGCUCGUAGUUGGAUUUCUGGUGGGAGCGAUCGGUCUGGCGCUUAGCGCGAGUACUUGCAUCGUCUCCGGCCAUCCUUGGGGAGAGUCUGUCUGGCAUUAGGUUGUCGGGCAGAGGAUCCUCAUCGUUUACUGUGAAAAAAUUAGAGUGUUCAAAGCAGGCUUAUGCCGUUGAAUAUAUUAGCAUGGAAUAAUAAGAUAGGACUUUGGUACUAUUUUGUUGGUUUGCGCACCAAAGUAAUGAUUAAUAGGGACAGUUGGGGGUAUUCGUAUUCCGUUGUCAGAGGUGAAAUUCUUGGAUUUACGGAAGACGAACUACUGCGAAAGCAUUUACCAAGGAUGUUUUCAUUAA
This 383-nucleotide ribosomal RNA is filed under the name uncultured eukaryote. RNAcentral's name for it is "partial 18S ribosomal RNA". It matches the Rfam family "Eukaryotic small subunit ribosomal RNA", at positions 592 to 976 of the family's 1831-position model. The record is from RNAcentral.